GGUGUUCAUUUUCUGGGACAGUACUGGUCUGUGGGCCAUAUGGCAUGAAGGGCAAACCUCAAGAUGAGCGAACACUGUAAUGAUGUUUUUCACAGGAACUUUCACAACCGAAACAGGAGAAGAUCAGAUAUGGAUCCUGGUACCUUGACCCAAAAAUGUGGAGAAAAUGGAAAGGGAGUGAACCCUUAAAAGCUCUGGAAACUGCAGGCAAUAGCCUUGGGAAUGGAAAACAUCAGUUUGAAAAGUUCCUUCUGAAAAUGCUGGCUGGGAGAAAUGAUAGUGGAGCUCAAGAGGAAACAUCCAAAGCUUGCAAGUUACCUUGUCCAAAAAGGCAUGACAAAACUGGAGGAGAUUCUUCCAGAAUUGUUGAAUAGUAGAAAUCUCUACAUUCUCUUACAAUGAAUAGGUGAUGGUAGCUGAGCUGCUUCUAGGAGAAUAAUCUCAUGUUAGAGCAAACUUGAAGAUAGCUUGCAGCUUCUUUUGCAAAAACGGCCAGAUAAAGUUUGGAGGUCAGACAUGGACUACCAAAUUCCAGGCUCAAAUCACUUUUCCAGCUUAGUAGCGCUUGGGUCUGGCUUGAAGACACUGAAGACUUCAGCUGUGCUGUAGUGCGCUGUUCCAGUCAAAGAGCCUCGUCCACAGUUACCUUAUUGCUUUAUAAAUAUCCACAACAGGCUUGCUGCUUUACAGAAUGAUUAAGCAUCCCUUUCUCUGAAUUCUGAAAGGACAAGAUGGUUGCAAUUUAUAUACCUAGAGAAAAAUUGAAACCUGUCUGAGAAUUGUACUGCUUUGAACACUACAGAAUGAUCCUAACAUGCACACAACUUAAAGUGACAUAAGCAUCCUUUUGUAAUAUAGAAAAGGCUAUCAAAAAUCAUAACUUGUUAUCUAUUAAUAUAGCAAAAAUAUCUAAUAAAGGUAACUCAAACCCCUUUGUGCA
This 940-nucleotide long non-coding RNA is filed under the name Struthio camelus australis. RNAcentral's name for it is "lncRNA (ENSSCUG00000018699.1)". Lineage: Eukaryota; Metazoa; Chordata; Aves; Struthioniformes; Struthionidae. The record is from RNAcentral.